UAGGGAGACCAUCUGAUAAUAGACCGAACCUAAACAAUAGGUCGUUGUCAGUCAUCCCUGGUCGUUCGAGGAAUAGAUGUCAAAGCUUUCAAACUAUUAACUGGUUCGGAACUCGCGGGCUAUUAGCUCAGUUGGUUAGAGCGCACCCCUGAUAAGGGUGAGGUCCCUGGUUCAAAUCCAGGAUGGCCCACCUGGAAAAAAGUGAUGAAUUGUCAGUAAUGAGUAAUGCAGCAUCAAUAAUGAUGAAUUCAGGACUCAUAAAAUCAAAAUCAGAACUUGCUUAGUGGGGGUAUAGCUCAGUUGGUAGAGCGCCUGCCUUGCACGCAGGAAGUCAGCGGUUCGAGUCCGCUUACCUCCACUCUCACUAACAAUAACCAACCACAAAAAAUCAAAAGAAAUAGAAAUCAGCACCCAGACUAACUUUGUCAAAGAAGCUCAAAAAAGAAGUCGGAAUGCUGGAGUCUAGAACUCUAGUCAGAACCUUGAAAACUGCAUAGAAAUUAAGUCAUCAAAGCGUGUCAUUUCUCCGAGCAAUCAGAGAAUCAGACAAGCGACCACCAUGAAAAAAUCAAGU
RNAcentral lists this transfer RNA (574 nucleotides) under Microcoleus vaginatus S47. RNAcentral's name for it is "partial 16S-23S ribosomal RNA intergenic spacer". The stretch from base 286 to 358 matches the Rfam family "tRNA". Lineage: Bacteria; Bacillati; Cyanobacteriota; Cyanophyceae; Oscillatoriales; Microcoleaceae. The record is from RNAcentral.